GAUGAAGAACGCAGCAAAAUGCGAUAAGUAAUGUGAAUUGCAGAAUUCAGUGAAUCAUCGAAUCUUUGAACGCACAUUGUGCCCGCCAGUAUUCUGGCGAGCAUGCCUGUUCGAGCGUCAUUUCAACCAUCAAGCCCCAGGCUUGUGUUGGAGCCCUGCGGCUGCCGCAGCCUCCCAAAACCAGUGGCGGGCUCGCUAUCACACCGAGUGCAGUAGUUUACUCUUCGCUCAGGGCGUGUGGCGGGUGCUAGCCGUGAAACCCCCAACUUCUCAAGGUUGACCUCGGAUCAGGUAGGAAUACCCGCUGAACUUAAGCAUAUCAAUAAGCGGAGGA
Molecule: unclassified non-coding RNA, 334 nt
Filed under: soil metagenome
Description: partial contains 5.8S ribosomal RNA, internal transcribed spacer 2, and large subunit ribosomal RNA
Rfam family: 5.8S ribosomal RNA (bases 1-120)
Source: RNAcentral